Esox lucius (northern pike) is the source of this 540-nucleotide long non-coding RNA. The record is from Ensembl. Lineage: Eukaryota; Metazoa; Chordata; Actinopteri; Esociformes; Esocidae.
GUUAUCACAAAUUGGGUCAUUAGGAGGUCAGUAGGCAGUAGAUCUAAUAAUAAAUUAUACUGAAAUUGACUCUUUCAGCAUGGAAAUGGGCACAAUGGCGCUGCCUAUACUGGAACAGAUGUUAAUGCUGAAAUCCCUCCUGGAGCAGAGUACACAGCGCUGCAGCACUGGCAACCAUCCUAGACACCUUCCACACAUCCACAAAAAGAACACAAGAGACAUGCUCACCCAGGCAAGGUGGUGAUUCUCAGAGGGAAGAAUGCACCAUAAGUGGAUCCAGCUGAUUACUGGCAAUUUGGAGGAAGAUUGUUCUUCAUAUGCUAUGUUGCACUGUCUCUUCUACAGUCACUGACAGAGUCAUUGACCUGUUGUGCUAUCUUUUGAUUUUACUUUACUUUGUUUCCAACCCCACUUUAAUUGAAACAGUGAAAAUCAUAUAGGUGUUUCAAUUUAUUUAGCAUUUCUUCAAUGUUUUCAAUUGAGUAUAUUUCACAGUAAUCUUAAAGCUUAUAUUUUAUGUGAAUUUGAAUAAACAUCUGC